This is a ribosomal RNA of Enterobacter sp. 638, 116 nucleotides long. The record is from Rfam. NCBI's taxonomy places the organism in Bacteria, Pseudomonadati, Pseudomonadota, Gammaproteobacteria, Enterobacterales, Enterobacteriaceae.
UCUGGCGGCUUUAGCGCGGUGGUCCCACCUGACCCCAUGCCGAACUCAGAAGUGAAACGCCGUAGCGCCGAUGGUAGUGUGGGGUCUCCCCAUGUGAGAGUAGGGAACUGCCAGAC